RNAcentral lists this transfer RNA (65 nucleotides) under Dipodomys ordii (Ord's kangaroo rat). It matches the Rfam family "tRNA". Rfam says of the family: Transfer RNA (tRNA) molecules are approximately 80 nucleotides in length. Their secondary structure includes four short double-helical elements and three loops (D, anti-codon, and T loops). Lineage: Eukaryota; Metazoa; Chordata; Mammalia; Rodentia; Heteromyidae. The record is from Rfam by way of RNAcentral.
GGUGGCUCAGUGGUAGAGCACUUGCCUUGCAUGCAUGAGGCGCUGGGUUCAAUUCCUCAGCACCA